RNAcentral lists this ribosomal RNA (450 nucleotides) under uncultured bacterium. RNAcentral describes it as "partial 16S ribosomal RNA". It matches the Rfam family "Bacterial small subunit ribosomal RNA", at positions 338 to 795 of the family's 1533-position model. The record is from RNAcentral.
CCUACGGGGGGCAGCAGUGGGGAAUAUUGCGCAAUGGUCGAAAGACUGACGCAGCGACGCCGCGUGGAGGAUGACGCCCUUCGGGGUGUAAACUCCUGUUGCUCGGGACGAAACCUCCUUUCGAGGAGACUGACGGUACCGAGUGAGGAAGCACCGGCUAACUCUGUGCCAGCAGCCGCGGUAAUACAGAGGGUGCGAGCGUUGUCCGGAAUCACUGGGCGUAAAGGGGGCGUCUUGGGCAGGGUACGGGGAAAGCUCGGGGCUCAACCCCGAGUCUGACGUGCGAACUGCCGAGCUGGAGCACGGUAGAGGCACAUGGAAUUCCGGGUGUAGCGGUGGAAUGCGUAGAGAUCCGGAAGAACACCGGUGGCGAAGGCGGUGUGCUGGGCCGUAGCUGACGCUGAGGCGCGACAGCGUGGGGAGCAAACAGGAUUAGAUACCCCAGUAGUC